This 254-nucleotide unclassified non-coding RNA is filed under the name uncultured Acidimicrobiia bacterium. RNAcentral's name for it is "contains 16S-23S intergenic spacer region". It matches the Rfam family "Bacterial small subunit ribosomal RNA", at positions 524 to 776 of the family's 1533-position model. The record is from RNAcentral. Lineage: Bacteria; Bacillati; Actinomycetota; Acidimicrobiia.
UACGUAGGGGGCGAGCGUUGUCCGGAUUUAUUGGGCGUAAAGAGCUCGUAGGCGGCCCAGUGAGUCGGAUGUGAAACCUUCAGGCUCAACCUGGAGAUGCCAUUCGAUACUGCUGUGGCUUGAGUCCGGUAGAGGAGCAUGGAAUUCCCGGUGUAGCGGUGAAAUGCGCAGAUAUCGGGAGGAACACCGGUAGCGAAGGCGGUGCUCUGGGCCGGUACUGACGCUGAGGAGCGAAAGCGUGGGGAGCGAACAGG